Long non-coding RNA from Tetranychus urticae (two-spotted spider mite), 1545 nucleotides. RefSeq lists it as uncharacterized. The record is from RefSeq and is a predicted model, not a curated record. Lineage: Eukaryota; Metazoa; Arthropoda; Arachnida; Trombidiformes; Tetranychidae.
AUACGCAAUAAAAGAAUCAUAUUUUUCGGAAUUGAUUAUCUUUAAAUUAUACUUGAAUAUAUUCUGAUUCUAACUAGUAUUAGAUGCCAAUCAUUUUAUAAUUUUAAUAAUCUUGUGCUACCAUGUAUUAAGCCAUGUUGUUAUUUUAUAUUAUGUGUCAAAACAAGUUACUAGAGACAAUCUUUCAUCAUCUUGACAUCUUUAGCCAACAUAAUAUUUAAACAAGACUCUUGAACUCGAAACACUUUUAUGUUUACCUCCCCAUGGACAAGUAUGAAUAAAAAACCUCAAAGCAAAAAAAAAGGAAGGAACAAUCUGAUGAAAUUCAACUCAAGCUCAUGUUACUUGAAGAUUCUGAUGGAUGAUCAAGACGAAUAGGAAGAGGAACAAGUCACAGCAACAAGCAACUUACCCAAAAAGAUAUUUCUUGGUUUUUUUUACCUUAAAAAUUAUCGCAAUUCUCCUACGGUUUGCAGCUUUGAUCAUGGAACAAUAUUUUACCUUUUGGAACUGACAUUUUCAAAUAUUGAGUUAUAAUUGGAGAUAUAAAUGAACAUAUCUGACGCUAAUCCAUAUUCAUACAUCAAGUCCAAAGUCACGUUGGAUUUAUUGGAUUGGCCAGGAAUUAGGAUUAAAAACGAUUGCUACUGUUUAUGGUUUCAUCUUUACCUUUGGUUCAUUAAUUUUUGAUACUUCUCAUAAUUAGGGUUAAUCAUUGUAUCUUUAGAAUGAUCAACUUAUGAUUAGCAUUCAAGAUUAAUAUGUUCAGUUGAAUCUAGUUUGCCUUUCCAGAGUUUCCAGUCUUUUCCCUUCCAAUUAUUAUCUCAUUUAGUCAUCUUUAGCUGAUUGAUUAUCAUUAAUUAAGGAUUGUCAAUCUGUUAUGAUUACUAUUUAUCCUGAUUAUCGCAAAGAUGCUCAAGAAUUUUGAUUCAACAUUUUUAUUUUGACAAUAUGCGCCCAUUUGUUUCCAUCAACUGUGAUUAUCAUUAAGUCAUUUAAUACUUACAAAUGAUAAUCAGAUGAUGAAGGUUAAUUUAACCAUGUAAAGACACCAAAUCAACAGCCAAUUGAGGAUUGAAAUUAUGGUUGUAAUAUUUGGCUGCAAUUAAAAAAGUUGCAAGUUUGACGAGAGAUUUAAAGGAUAAAAGUAUAUUUGAUUUGAGCAAAAUAUGGAUGACAAUAACUUGAAGUGUAUAUCAACUGAUGAUAAUGGUGCUGACAAACUCCAGGUUGACUCACCAUCAAGUGUCAAGUGAUUUAAUAAGUCAACUGAUGAUAAUAACUAAAUUAAUUUCAUUUGAUUUCUUCUUCUAUUUUUUCUCCUUUUUCUCUCUCUUUAUUUCAGCUUUAAUCAUUUCUCGUCAAAGGGAAUCAAUUUAAGUUGACUUGAUUAAGUAUUAUUUUAGCUUCUUUGCCGGUGAAGCAUCUUGGCCCUGUUGUUAUCCCAGUUUCACAUUAUAAAUUGUUAUUUCCUUUCACUUUUCCCUCAUUAUAAUGUAACAUUUGCCCUUUACAUAUGUGACUUGAUUAAAUUGUUAAAAUAAA